GGCCAGCAGCCGCGGUAAAACGUAGGAGGCAAGCGUUAUCCGGAUUCACUGGGCGUAAAGGGCAAGUAGGCGGUAGCCAAAGUUGGGCGUGACAUCCCCUGGCUUAACUGGGGGGGGUCGUUCAAAACUAGGUUACUUGAGGGCAGGAGAGGGAAGCGGAAUUCCUAGUGUAGCGGUGGAAUGCUCAGAUAUUAGGAAGAACACCAGUGGCGAAGGCGGCUUCCUGGCCUGCACCUGACGCUGAGAGGCGAAAGCUAGGGGAGCGAACGGGCUUAGAUACCCCGGUAGUCCUAGCUGUAAACGUUGGAUACUGGGUAUUGGGGGUAUCAACUCCCUCAGUGCCGAAGCUAACGCGUUAAGUAUCCCGCCUGGGGACUACGGCCGCAAGGUUAAAACUUAAAGGAAUUGGCGGGGGAU
Molecule: ribosomal RNA, 417 nt
Filed under: uncultured bacterium
Lineage: Bacteria
Description: bacterial SSU rRNA
Rfam family: Bacterial small subunit ribosomal RNA
Source: RNAcentral